Molecule: ribosomal RNA, 301 nt
Filed under: uncultured bacterium
Lineage: Bacteria
Description: partial 16S ribosomal RNA
Rfam family: Bacterial small subunit ribosomal RNA
Source: RNAcentral
CAGCCGCCGCGGUAAUACAGAGGGUGCGAGCGUUAAUCGGAUUUACUGGGCGUAAAGCGUGCGUAGGCGGCUUCUUAAGUCGGAUGUGAAAUCCCUGAGCUUAACUUAGGAAUUGCAUUCGAUACUGGGAAGCUAGAGUAUGGGAGAUGAUGGUAGAAUUCCAGGUGUAGCGGUGAAAUGCGUAGAGAUCUGGAGGAAUACCGAUGGCGAAGGCAGCCAUCUGGCCUAAUACUGACGCUGAGGUACGAAAGCAUGGGGAGCAAACAGGAUUAGAUACCCGCGUAGUCCCUGUCUCUUAUAC